AGUGAACGCUGGCGGCAGGCCUAACACAUGCAAGUCGAACGGCAGCACAGGAGAGCUUGCUCUCUGGGUGGCGAGUGGCGGACGGGUGAGGAAUACAUCGGAAUCUACUCUGUCGUGGGGGAUAACGUAGGGAAACUUACGCUAAUACCGCAUACGACCUACGGGAGAAAGCAGGGGAUCUUCGGACCUUGCGCGAUUGAAUGAGCCGAUGUCGGAUUAGCUAGUUGGCGGGGUAAAGGCCCACCAAGGCGACGAUCCGUAGCUGGUCUGAGAGGAUGAUCAGCCACACUGGAACUGAGACACGUUCCAGACUCCUACGGGAGGCAGCAGUGGGGAAUAUUGGACAAUGGGCGCAAGCCUGAUCCAGCCAUACCGCGUGGGUGAAGAAGGCCUUCGGGUUGUAAAGCCCUUUUGUUGGGAAAGAAAUCCAGCUGGCUAAUACCCGGUUGGGAUGACGGUACCCAAAGAAUAAGCACCGGCUAACUUCGUGCCAGCAGCCGCCGUAA
This 506-nucleotide ribosomal RNA is filed under the name uncultured bacterium. RNAcentral describes it as "partial 16S ribosomal RNA". It matches the Rfam family "Bacterial small subunit ribosomal RNA", at positions 29 to 523 of the family's 1533-position model. The record is from RNAcentral.